GACGAACGCUGGCGGCGUGCCUAACACAUGCAAGUCGAACGAGGUCCAGUCGGUAGCAAUACCGACGAAGACCUAGUGGCGAACGGGUGAGUAGCACGUGAGCAACCUGCCCCGAAGACCGGGACAACACCGGGAAACCGGUGCUAAUACCGGAUGUCCCCACCGUGUCGCAUGGCGUGGUGAGGAAAUGGAUUCCGCUUCGGGAGGGGCUCGCGGCCUAUCAGCUUGUUGGUGAGGUAACGGCUCACCAAGGCUUCGACGGGUAGCUGGUCUGAGAGGACGAUCAGCCACACUGGGACUGAGACACGGCCCAGACUCCUACGGGAGGCAGCAGUGGGGAAUCUUGCACAAUGGGCGAAAGCCUGAUGCAGCAACGCCGCGUGAGGGACGAAGGCUUUCUGAGUUGUAAACCUCUUUCAGCAGGGACGAUGAUGACGGUACCUGCAGAAGAAGCCCCGGCCAACUACGUGCCAGCAGCCGCGGUAAUACGUAGGGGGCAAGCGUUGUCCGGA
Molecule: ribosomal RNA, 512 nt
Filed under: uncultured bacterium
Lineage: Bacteria
Description: bacterial SSU rRNA
Rfam family: Bacterial small subunit ribosomal RNA
Source: RNAcentral